AAAGUCAAAUAGUACGUGAAAUUGUUGAAAGGGAAACGAUUGAAGUCAGUCGUACCCGCGGGAAAUCAGCUUUUCGAGGGAGAUCUUCUGGGCGUUUGGGAGCCUAACGGUCUCUACGUUUUCAAGUUUUUUCUCUUUUUGCGCAUUUUCUUGUGCGGUAGGUUAACGUCAAUUUCGGACGUCAUAAAAUGACCGGAGGAAUGUGGCUUCGAUUUUUCGAAGUGUUAUAGACUCUGGUAGACAUGACGAACGGGAUUGAGGAUUGCAACGAAUGCCUAAACCGCCUGAUCUCUAAUCGUUGCCUUGGUGCCGAAAGCGUGCUUACGGUUAUUGAGGUUGACGGUUAAAAGGUUAGAACGGAUUAAAUUCGUUAAGGACGUUGACGUAAUGGCUUUAAACGA
Molecule: unclassified non-coding RNA, 401 nt
Filed under: uncultured Glomeromycotina
Lineage: Eukaryota; Fungi; Glomeromycota
Description: sequence contains 28S rRNA gene
Source: RNAcentral